AGAGUUUGAUCCUGGCUCAGGAUGAACACUAGCUACAGGCUUAACACAUGCAAGUCGAGGGGCAGCAUGGUCUUAGCUUGCUAAGGCCGAUGGCGACCGGCGCACGGGUGAGUAACACGUAUCCAACCUGCCGUCUACUCUUGGACAGCCUUCUGAAAGGAAGAUUAAUACAAGAUGGCAUCAUGAGUCCGCAUGUUCACAUGAUUAAAGGUAUUCCGGUAGACGAUGGGGAUGCGUUCCAUUAGAUAGUAGGCGGGGUAACGGCCCACCUAGUCUUCGAUGGAUAGGGGUUCUGAGAGGAAGGUCCCCCACAUUGGAACUGAGACACGGUCCAAACUCCUACGGGAGGCAGCAGUGAGGAAUAUUGGUCAAUGGGCGAGAGCCUGAACCAGCCAAGUAGCGUGAAGGAUGACUGCCCUAUGGGUUGUAAACUUCUUUUAUAAAGGAAUAAAGUCGGGUAUGGAUACCCGUUUGCAUGUACUUUAUGAAUAAGGAUCGGCUAACUCCGUGCCAGCAGCCGCGGUAAUACGGAGGAUCCGAGCGUUAUCCGGAUUUAUUGGGUUUAAAGGGAGCGUAGAUGGAUGUUUAAGUCAGUUGUGAAAGUUUGCGGCUCAACCGUAAAAUUGCAGUUGAUACUGGAUAUCUUGAGUGCAGUUGAGGCAGGCGGAAUUCGUGGUGUAGCGGUGAAAUGCUUAGAUAUCACGAAGAACUCCGAUUGCGAAGGCAGCCUGCUAAGCUGCAACUGACAUUGAGGCUCGAAAGUGUGGGUAUCAAACAGGAUUAGAUACCCUGGUAGUCCACACGGUAAACGAUGAAUACUCGCUGUUUGCGAUAUACUGCAAGCGGCCAAGCGAAAGCGUUAAGUAUUCCACCUGGGGAGUACGCCGGCAACGGUGAAACUCAAAGGAAUUGACGGGGGCCCGCACAAGCGGAGGAACAUGUGGUUUAAUUCGAUGAUACGCGAGGAACCUUACCCGGGCUUAAAUUGCAGAUGAAUUACGGUGAAAGCCGUAAGCCGCAAGGCAUCUGUGAAGGUGCUGCAUGGUUGUCGUCAGCUCGUGCCGUGAGGUGUCGGCUUAAGUGCCAUAACGAGCGCAACCCUUGUUGUCAGUUACUAACAGGUUCCGCUGAGGACUCUGACAAGACUGCCAUCGUAAGAUGUGAGGAAGGUGGGGAUGACGUCAAAUCAGCACGGCCCUUACGUCCGGGGCUACACACGUGUUACAAUGGGGGGUACAGAGGGCCGCUACCACGCGAGUGGAUGCCAAUCCCCAAAACCUCUCUCAGUUCGGACUGGAGUCUGCAACCCGACUCCACGAAGCUGGAUUCGCUAGUAAUCGCGCAUCAGCCACGGCGCGGUGAAUACGUUCCCGGGCCUUGUACACACCGCCCGUCAAGCCAUGGGAGCCGGGGGUACCUGAAGUGCGUAACCGCGAGGAGCGCCCUAGGGUAAAACUGGUGACUGGGGCUAAGUCGUAACAAGGUAACC
This 1489-nucleotide ribosomal RNA is filed under the name uncultured bacterium. RNAcentral describes it as "bacterial SSU rRNA". It matches the Rfam family "Bacterial small subunit ribosomal RNA". The record is from RNAcentral.